UUAGGAAUUUUGCGCAAUGGGAGAAAUCCUGACGCAGCAACGCCGCGUGGGUGAUGAAGGCCUUCGGGUUGUAAAGCCCUUUUAGUGGGGACGAAAUAAAUGACGGUACCCGCAGAAGAAGCACCGGCUAACUCUGUGCCAGCAGCCGCGGUAAUACAGAGGGUGCAAGCGUUAUUCGGAAUUACUGGGCGUAAAGCGCAUGUAGGCGGUUCGGUAAGUCUGAUGUGAAAUCCCCCGACUCAAUCGGGGAAGUGCAUCGGAUACUGCCGGACUGGAGGACAGGAUAGGAGAACGGAAUUCCUGGUGUAGAGGUGAAAUUCGUAGAUAUCAGGAGGAACAACUGUGGCGAAGGCGGUUCUCUGGACUGUAACUGACGCUGAGAUGCGAAAGCGUGGGGAGCAAACAGG
RNAcentral lists this ribosomal RNA (407 nucleotides) under uncultured bacterium. RNAcentral describes it as "bacterial SSU rRNA". It matches the Rfam family "Bacterial small subunit ribosomal RNA", at positions 355 to 776 of the family's 1533-position model. The record is from RNAcentral.